Molecule: long non-coding RNA, 418 nt
Filed under: Homo sapiens (human)
Lineage: Eukaryota; Metazoa; Chordata; Mammalia; Primates; Hominidae
Description: HSALNT0056929
Source: RNAcentral
GCAACUGCCAGACCAAGGCAGGGAAGAAACAAAGCUGGCUGGCAGCUGGGUCUUGCAAGGCCAGAAAAGGUUGGAAGGGCUUUCGCCUCCUGAUAUCAGAGUGUAACAGUGCCAGAUUGGCAGCUUCAGCCCUUACAAUCCCGUAGACCGAAUCCUAGCGUUCACUAUGGCCAUUGUGAGCAGCCCAUUCUGCUACCAACUCUGGGAGCAGAAACUCUUGUGUACCCAAAGCUUGGCCCUAGUUCUUUGUUGGCUUCUGAUCCAUGACAAAAGGCUCCUUCAGAUUUACAGUGGCUCCCACAGCUCCUGACCCAGAGAAUUAUAAUUCUCCUGUAGAAGUAAAUAGUGCUCAUCAGUGGUUUGAGUUGACUGUUAAGCUAUUUUAAUGGCUUAUUUUUGUGCAUUUGCUACUUCAUUU